UACGAAGGGUGCAAGCGUUAAUCGGAAUUACUGGGCGUAAAGCGCGCGUAGGUGGUUCAGUAAGUUGGAAGUGAAAUCCCCGGGCUCAACCUGGGAACUGCUUUCAAAACUGCUGAGCUAGAGUACGGUAGAGGGUGGUGGAAUUUCCUGUGUAGCGGUGAAAUGCGUAGAUAUAGGAAGGAACACCAGUGGCGAAGGCGACCACCUGGACUGAUACUGACACUGAGGUGCGAAAGCGUGGGGAGCAAACAGGAUUAGAAA
RNAcentral lists this ribosomal RNA (261 nucleotides) under uncultured bacterium. Its description in RNAcentral is "partial 16S ribosomal RNA". It matches the Rfam family "Bacterial small subunit ribosomal RNA", at positions 524 to 784 of the family's 1533-position model. The record is from RNAcentral.